UUUACUGUUCCCAGACCCAUCAGAGCAAUCACUACAGUAACUAUGGCAUUAAGAAACUCAUUUUAAAGGGAUAAGACUUAAACGUUGAAAUUACCCCUUAAUCCACAGACUCCAGAAUGGCUUGAAAACAACGUUAAUCUUGCCAUAUACAUCCAUCAGAAGUCUUGGGUAACUAGGUACAUUGUCAUCAAAUGGAAUUCCCAGAGGCUGUGUCCUAGAGGAUUCUAGACCAUCUCAAGUGGACAGUGGUAGCCAUCAUAGCUGAGCCGGGAAGACUGGGAAAUCAAGACCAACUUGGGCUGCACAGCGAGAGCUUUUCUCAAACAAAACACAGUAAAACAAAACACCUCACAAAGGCAUCAGUUGUGUUCACCUCUGAUGAGGAAGGGAGCUUGGCACGAGGCCAGGCAUUGAUUUCUCCUCUUUAUGAAAGUCCUCGAUGGCAUCUUCCUCCAGGGAAGCUCCUUAAACAGGAAGGUAAACAAUUCAAAAUAGCUUCAGGAAGUUCCUGAAACCGAUCAGAUUCACUAGGACCCUCCUGGCCAGGGCAAGCAAUAAGAACCGAGUCCUUCUCAGACCAAAAGAGGCAAGCAGCAAGGAAAACUAUGAGAGGAGACCAGCUGCCUAGAAGAAGCAGAAACCAGCCUAGCUGCUCGGAAGAGGUUUGGACCAACUGAGGCACCUGGAAAGGACACUCUCCAGCCUGUUGAUCUGCCUGCAGACUCUGCAGUAUACUCCAGAUUCUCAGCUUUUGUGAGCUGUCACCCAUGCUGGGGUGGGAUUUGAUGAUCCCGCUGCCUUUGAGUCAUUUCUGCUCCUCACCCAUAUUCCUGUCAGA
This is a long non-coding RNA of Peromyscus eremicus (cactus mouse), 838 nucleotides long. RefSeq lists it as uncharacterized. The transcript has 3 exons. Lineage: Eukaryota; Metazoa; Chordata; Mammalia; Rodentia; Cricetidae. The record is from RefSeq and is a predicted model, not a curated record.